This 18-nucleotide small nuclear RNA is filed under the name Arabidopsis thaliana (thale cress). RNAcentral describes it as "snRNA_19178". The record is from RNAcentral. Lineage: Eukaryota; Viridiplantae; Streptophyta; Magnoliopsida; Brassicales; Brassicaceae.
UUGAGCUUGACUCUAGUC